Long non-coding RNA from Zeugodacus cucurbitae (melon fly), 1276 nucleotides. RefSeq lists it as uncharacterized. The transcript has 3 exons. The record is from RefSeq and is a predicted model, not a curated record. NCBI's taxonomy places the organism in Eukaryota, Metazoa, Arthropoda, Insecta, Diptera, Tephritidae.
GUCGCGAGCAUGUUGAUUCCGCAGAAUCUUCAAGUGAACUGAUUGUAAGUUACUGUGUCCACUCUCGCGUAGUCCCCCAGAUGCUCACCUAGCUUAGAGUAAUGCUGACGGUCACACAGAGCAUGUUAUCCUGGCAUCAGGGGUGAGUGAGUCUGUCUAUCUCUUUUCCGUGGCAUGAUCCUGAAUAGUUCCACAUAUACUAGCAUACAUGUAUAUGGGUAGCUGCGGUCACAGCAACGAAUUAAGGGAUGAUGAGCGAAGAGUGGUCAGAAGUGAUGUUUUAAAGUGCUUCAUAUCAAUCCAGAACACGGAGAAACUCUCUAUAGGAAUCAUGCUUACUUUUGAAAAAGAUCGCUGAGUACGUUACAUUCAAUGAAAACGAUAGUGCGCAAAACUGCUUUUCCAUUCAAAUCGACUAAUAUUGAACGGGUCCAACCUUUUAUACAUACAGUAUCCGACAAAAUUAUGGAUAUCCCACCACAUUUUUCACUAUUAUUUGAAUAUAUCUUCCAAGAUAAAACAAACAACAAAAAAAUGCACAUACUAUUGAAUGAAGACUUUUUGAAGAUUUACACACAACAAAAGUAUGUAUACCGUGGCAAUAUUUGGCAUUUAAUAGGAAAAUAGUUUAGUUUGGAAUUGCUGUAUCUACAAUAGUCUAUCAAAUCUGGUAUUAUUCGAAGGCAAAUGACGGGAGAGUCCUACGGAGUGAUGCUGAGUACAAAUUUAGAGCCCUCAGCACAAAAACAUGGACUUGGAAGAUACUUUAUAUACCAGCAGGAUAACGUGCCCAAACAUACAAGUUGGUGUAGGAAGAAUGCUUCGAUCAAAAAUCGACAGAGCUCCUACUAUGGUCUGCCCAAACCUCUGACUUAAAUGUUAUUUAGUAUUUAUAGCAAUAUUUAAAUGAUAAGCUCGACCGAUAUUCUAGUCAUCCCAAUAAAUGAGAAAUUUUAAAUAGAUUGCAGGACUUCUUGGAAAACAUACUAGAAUCACUUUUUCUGAACUUUGUAGACAGUAUGUCUUAAAGUCUUUUGACUGUAAUUAACACUAAAGAUGCCAACACCAUAUUUGAAGCUCUAUUUAUAAGCUAACAUUAUAAUACAUAAUUGCCUUUUGCAGAUGAUCGCGUGUUUUGCAACAAAUAGUUCAAAUGUACUAUAUAUAGAAAAAUAACAAAAUAGAAAAACAAUCAAAGCGAUAAAUUUCACUGCUAAAAAGAUAUAAUCAUAUUGGUGUUUACAUUCAUAGGGUAUACAUAAUUUUGUCGUAUACU